Molecule: ribosomal RNA, 1343 nt
Filed under: uncultured bacterium
Lineage: Bacteria
Description: 16S ribosomal RNA
Rfam family: Bacterial small subunit ribosomal RNA
Source: RNAcentral
GACGAACGCUGGCGGCGUGCUUAACACAUGCAAGUCGAACGGAAAGGCCCUGCUUUUGUGGGGUGCUCGAGUGGCGAACGGGUGAGUAACACGUGAGUAACCUGCCCUUGACUUUGGGAUAACUUCAGGAAACUGGGGCUAAUACCGGAUAGGAGCUCCUGCUGCAUGGUGGGGGUUGGAAAGUUUCGGCGGUUGGGGAUGGACUCGCGGCUUAUCAGCUUGUUGGUGGGGUAGUGGCUUACCAAGGCUUUGACGGGUAGCCGGCCUGAGAGGGUGACCGGCCACAUUGGGACUGAGAUACGGCCCAGACUCCUACGGGAGGCAGCAGUGGGGAAUAUUGCACAAUGGGCGGAAGCCUGAUGCAGCAACGCCGCGUGCGGGAUGACGGCCUUCGGGUUGUAAACCGCUUUCGCCUGUGACGAAGCGUGAGUGACGGUAAUGGGUAAAGAAGCACCGGCUAACUACGUGCCAGCAGCCGCGGUGAUACGUAGGGUGCAAGCGUUGUCCGGAUUUAUUGGGCGUAAAGGGCUCGUAGGUGGUUGAUCGCGUCGGAAGUGUAAUCUUGGGGCUUAACCCUGAGCGUGCUUUCGAUACGGGUUGACUUGAGGAAGGUAGGGGAGAAUGGAAUUCCUGGUGGAGCGGUGGAAUGCGCAGAUAUCAGGAGGAACACCAGUGGCGAAGGCGGUUCUCUGGGCCUUUCCUGACGCUGAGGAGCGAAAGCGUGGGGAGCGAACAGGCUUAGAUACCCUGGUAGUCCACGCUGUAAACGGUGGGUACUAGGUGUGGGGUCCAUUCCACGGGUUCCGUGCCGUAGCUAACGCUUUAAGUACCCCGCCUGGGGAGUACGGCCGCAAGGCUAAAACUCAAAGGAAUUGACGGGGCCCCGCACAAGCGGCGGAGCAUGCGGAUUAAUUCGAUGCAACGCGUAGAACCUUACCUGGGUUUGACAUGGAUCGGGAGCGCUCAGAGAUGGGUGUGCCUCUUUUGGGGUCGGUUCACAGGUGGUGCAUGGCUGUCGUCAGCUCGCGCCGUGAGAUGUUGGGUUAAGUCCCGCAACGGGCGCAACCCUUGUUCACUGUUGCCAGCACGUUAUGGUGGGGACUCAGUGGAGACCGCCGGGGUCAACUCGGAGGAAGGUGGGGAUGACGUCAAGUCAUCAUGCCCCUUAUGUCCAGGGCUUCACGCAUGCUACAAUGGCUGGUACAGAGAGUGGCGAGCCUGUGAGGGUGAGCGAAUCUCGGAAAGCCGGUCUCAGUUCGGAUUGGGGUCUGCAACUCGACCUCAUGAAGUCGGAGUCGCUAGUAAUCGCAGAUCAGCAACGCUGCGGUGAAUACGUUCCCGGG